RNAcentral lists this ribosomal RNA (293 nucleotides) under uncultured bacterium. Its description in RNAcentral is "partial 16S ribosomal RNA". It matches the Rfam family "Bacterial small subunit ribosomal RNA", at positions 505 to 796 of the family's 1533-position model. The record is from RNAcentral.
GUGUCAGCCGCCGCGGUAAAACGUAGGAGGCGAGCGUUAUCCGGAUUCACUGGGCGUAAAGCGCGCGUAGGCGGUCGAGUAAGUCGGACGUGAAAGCCCCUGGCUCAACUGGGGGAGGUCGUUCGAUACUGCUCGGCUUGAGGGUGAGAGAGGGAAGUGGAAUUCCCGGUGUAGCGGUGGAAUGCGUAGAGAUCGGGAGGAACACCAGUGGCGAAGGCGGCUUCCUGGCUCACCCCUGACGCUGAUAGCGCGAAAGCGUGGGGAGCAAACGGGAUUAGAUACCCUUGUAGUCC